RNAcentral lists this microRNA precursor (74 nucleotides) under Bombyx mori (domestic silkworm). RNAcentral's name for it is "mir-2807 microRNA precursor family". It matches the Rfam family "mir-2807 microRNA precursor family". The record is from Rfam by way of RNAcentral. Lineage: Eukaryota; Metazoa; Arthropoda; Insecta; Lepidoptera; Bombycidae.
GUAACUCAAAUUUGAAUGGAGUUGGAACGUUUGCCGCUAAGAGCGCUGUUCCAACUUCAUACAAAUUUCAGCUA